RNAcentral lists this ribosomal RNA (467 nucleotides) under uncultured bacterium. Its description in RNAcentral is "bacterial SSU rRNA". It matches the Rfam family "Bacterial small subunit ribosomal RNA", at positions 28 to 494 of the family's 1533-position model. The record is from RNAcentral.
GAUUAACGCUGGCGGUAUGCCUAACACAUGCAAGUCGAACGGAAUACUAAUUAAGAGAAUCUCACACUAGUGAGAGGUUCUCACGAGUAGUAUUUAGUGGCGGACGGGUGAGUAACACGUUGGAACCUGCCCCGAAGUGGGGAAUAACUGCUCGAAAGAGUAGCUAAUACCCCAUAGUAUCCGGUUUAUCCGGAUUAAAGAUUUAUCGCUUCGGGAGGGGCCUGCGUCUGAUUAGCUAGUUGGUGAGGUAAAAGCUCACCAAGGCGACGAUCAGUAGCUGGUUCGAGAGGAUGACCAGCCACACUGGGACUGAGAUACGGCCCAGACUCCUACGGGAGGCAGCAGUGAGGAAUCUUCCACAAUGGACGAAAGUCUGAUGGAGCAAUACCGCGUGCAGGAAGACGCUUUUCGGAGUGUAAACUGCUUUUGUCGUCGAAGAUUAUGACUGUAGACGAAGAAUAAGGACC